Small nucleolar RNA from Alosa sapidissima (American shad), 181 nucleotides. RefSeq annotates it as small nucleolar RNA SNORD97. Lineage: Eukaryota; Metazoa; Chordata; Actinopteri; Clupeiformes; Clupeidae. The record is from RefSeq and is a predicted model, not a curated record. The transcript has a single exon.
GUGCCCGGUGAUUAUAAAAAGACGCGUUAUUCUGACGGAUCCCCCCCCUGCUGUCUGUUCUCUGGCUUUUCUUCUCUCUCACUAGUCUCCCCCUUUGCUAUGUCUAUCUGUUUUCUCCUCUGUCUCUCCAUCUACGACAGCCAGCAGGUCCACUGAUUGCGAUUAUGAGAGAUGAGGGCAC